GAUGAACGCUGGCGGCGUGCCUAAUACAUGCAAGUCGAGCGAACAGACGAGGAGCUUGCUCCUCUGACGUUAGCGGCGGACGGGUGAGUAACACGUGGAUAACCUACCUAUAAGACUGGGAUAACUUCGGGAAACCGGCGCUAAUACCGGAUAACAUGUUGAACCGCAUGGUUCAACAGUGAAAGACGGUCUUGCUGUAACUUCUAGCUGGAUACGCGCCGCAUGAGCUAGUUGGUACGGUCACGGCUUACCAAGGCAACGAUGCGUAGCCGACCUGAGAGGGUGGUCGGCCACACUGGAACGGGGACACGGUCCAGACGCCUACGGGAGGCAGCAGUAGGGAAUGUGCCGCAAUGGUCGGAAUCCUUACGGAGCAACGCGGCGUGAGUGAAGAAGGUCUCCGGAUCGUAAAACUCGGUUUUGAGGUAAGAACAAAUGUGGAAGUAACCAUGCACGUCGUGACGGUAACGAAUCAGAAAGCCCCGGCUAACUACGUG
Molecule: ribosomal RNA, 497 nt
Filed under: uncultured bacterium
Lineage: Bacteria
Description: partial 16S ribosomal RNA
Rfam family: Bacterial small subunit ribosomal RNA
Source: RNAcentral